AUUUUAAUGAUUACAAAAUAUUAGAGCACAAAAUUAGAUUAAUAUUUUUCAAGUGUCUUAAAGAAUAUUUUUGUAGAAAGAAAGCACCGAUGAAAAAGGUUGAAAAUAUUUGAGUAAAAAAAAUCAGUUUUGGAGCCAAGACACUUAAGAAAAGCCUCUUUGAAGAAGUCGAGUCGACUUAUCCUUGAACCGAGCUGACUCCAGCACAAACUGGCCAC
Molecule: long non-coding RNA, 218 nt
Filed under: Elaeis guineensis (African oil palm)
Lineage: Eukaryota; Viridiplantae; Streptophyta; Magnoliopsida; Arecales; Arecaceae
Description: long non-coding RNA (EGUI_LNC076571)
Source: RNAcentral